Tirmania nivea is the source of this 94-nucleotide non-coding RNA. Lineage: Eukaryota; Fungi; Ascomycota; Pezizomycetes; Pezizales; Pezizaceae. The record is from the annotation of a GenBank genome assembly.
GGCACAGUGGUCUAAUAGUAUGAUUCCUGCUUUGUAACGUCCUGCUAACAUGUGCAGAGAGCGGGUGGUCUGGGUUCAAGUCCCAGCUGAGCCA